RNAcentral lists this ribosomal RNA (253 nucleotides) under uncultured bacterium. Its description in RNAcentral is "partial 16S ribosomal RNA". It matches the Rfam family "Bacterial small subunit ribosomal RNA", at positions 524 to 776 of the family's 1533-position model. The record is from RNAcentral.
UACGUAGGGUGCGAGCGUUGUCCGGAAUUAUUGGGCGUAAAGAGCUCGUAGGCGGUCUGUCGCGUCUGCUGUGAAAACCCGAGGCUCAACCUCGGGCCUGCAGUGGGUACGGGCAGACUAGAGUGUGGUAGGGGAGACUGGAAUUCCUGGUGUAGCGGUGAAAUGCGCAGAUAUCAGGAGGAACACCGAUGGCGAAGGCAGGUCUCUGGGCCACUACUGACGCUGAGAAACGAAAGCAUGGGGAGCGAACAGG